AUUGGGGCCGGAAAGGCCGACUCUCUGGUCUGUAACUGACGCUGAGGAGCGAAAGCGUGGGGAGCGAACAGGAUUAAAUACCCUGGUAGUCCACGCCGUAAACGAUGAGUGCUAACUGUUAGGGGGUUUCCGCCCCUUAGUGCUGCAGCUAACGCAUUAAGCACUCCGCCUGGGGAGUACGGUCGCAAGACUGAAAACUCAAAGGAAUUGACGGGGGCCCGCACAAGCGGUGGAGCAUGUGGUUUAAUUCGAAAGCAACGCGAAGAACCUUACCAGGUCUUGACAUGCCCAGAACAUUCCAGAGAUGGAUUGUUCCCUUCGGGAACUCAAUGACAGGUGCUGCAUGGCUGUCGUCAGCUCGUGUCGUGAGAUGUUGGGUUAAGUCCCGAACCAGCGCAACCCUUGUUCUUAGUUGCAAGCACAAAUGGGGGAAUCUCUAA
Molecule: ribosomal RNA, 440 nt
Filed under: Bacillus safensis
Lineage: Bacteria; Bacillati; Bacillota; Bacilli; Caryophanales; Bacillaceae
Description: bacterial SSU rRNA
Rfam family: Bacterial small subunit ribosomal RNA
Source: RNAcentral